UACGGAGGAUCCAAGCGUUAUCCGGAAUCAUUGGGUUUAAAGGGUCCGUAGGCGGGCCUGUAAGUCAGUGGUGAAAUCUCCCCGCUCAACGGGGAAACGGCCAUUGAUACUGCAGGCCUUGAAUUAUCAGGAAGUAACUAGAAUAUGUAGUGUAGCGGUGAAAUGCUUAGAUAUUACAUGGAAUACCAAUUGCGAAGGCAGGUUACUACUGGUGGAUUGACGCUGAUGGACGAAAGCGUGGGUAGCGAACAGG
RNAcentral lists this ribosomal RNA (253 nucleotides) under uncultured bacterium. RNAcentral's name for it is "partial 16S ribosomal RNA". It matches the Rfam family "Bacterial small subunit ribosomal RNA", at positions 524 to 776 of the family's 1533-position model. The record is from RNAcentral.